GGGAAAUCUGCCCUGGCGGAUGGGUGCCGGAGUCAGUUCAUCCUGGGGACUGUGUGACGUCGUGGAGCUUGAGGACGUGUGGGUGUUCAAUGAGUUUCAGGAUGGCGAUCUCCCGCUCCACCUGCAGGAAGAGGAACGGAGGUCAGAGUGGCCUCCCUCCCUCCCGCCCGCCCGCAGCCCCAGAGGGUCCCUGCUCCCCUGGAGCACAGCACACCUUCAUCAGCACCGACUCGGACAGCUUCUCCCGGUUCACGAUCUUGAUGGCGACCUUCUGGCCCGUGAUGCAGUGGACCCCAAGUUUAACCAGACCUGGGGGAGUGGGAUUCAAAAUGUGGGGUGUGUGGCCAGAUCAUUCUCCCUGCUUCUGUCUCCUAAGCAGCCCCCCUCCCCAGACACCCCAUCUCCUCCUCCUUUCCCUGCUGGCUGUUUAAUGGUGGCUUGAAUCACCUGGACCUGAACUCCUGGGGGCUGGCAGCCACAAUUUCCACAAAAUACAGUUCUCUUCCUGCU
Phacochoerus africanus (Common warthog) is the source of this 510-nucleotide long non-coding RNA. RefSeq lists it as uncharacterized. The record is from RefSeq and is a predicted model, not a curated record. The transcript has 2 exons. Lineage: Eukaryota; Metazoa; Chordata; Mammalia; Artiodactyla; Suidae.